GACGAACGCUGGCGGCGUGCCUAAUACAUGCAAGUUGAGCGCUGAAGGUUGGUCCUUGUACCAACUGGAUGAGCAGCGAACGGGUGAGUAACGCGUGGGGAAUCUGCCUUUGAGCGGGGGACAACAUUUGGAAACGAAUGCUAAUACCGCAUAAAAACUUUAAACACAAGUUUUAAGUUUGAAAGAUGCAAUUGCAUCACUCAAAGAUGAUCCCGCGUUGUAUUAGCUAGUUGGUGAGGUAAAGGCUCACCAAGGCGAUGAUACAUAGCCGACCUGAGAGGGUGAUCGGCCACCUUGGGACUGAGACACGGCCCAAACUCCUACGGGAGGCAGCAGUAGGGAAUCUUCGGCAAUGGACGAAAGUCUGACCGAGCAACGCCGCGUGAGUGAAGAAGGUUUUCGGAUCGUAAAACUCUGUUGGUAGAGAAGAACGUUGGUGAGAGUGGAAAGCCCAUCAAGUGACGGUAACUACCCAGAAAGGGACGGCUAACUACGUG
RNAcentral lists this ribosomal RNA (497 nucleotides) under uncultured bacterium. RNAcentral describes it as "partial 16S ribosomal RNA". It matches the Rfam family "Bacterial small subunit ribosomal RNA", at positions 28 to 507 of the family's 1533-position model. The record is from RNAcentral.